UGUGGCGCCCGGCUGCUGCACCCCUUUUCUUUCACUUUCGGCUCUUUGCUUCAGCAAAUGAAGAACCAGAUGUUUCCAGUUCCCUCUGAUGGAGAGACACUGCCACGGUUGUGAGCAGGCAGCUGGACUGUCAGGCUAAACCUGUUUCACUCAAUACCUGGGGCACAGCUACACCAACACCUCCAAAAUCCAGCACUGUGAACUGCCCUUGCCAUGCUGUGAACCCUGGCUGCAAGCAAUGCAAAUAUUUUGAAUUGGAUUCCUGUGGCCUUUUCCCUGGCUGACACACAAGUCUUAAUGGUUCCCAAAAGAACACCAUGGUGCUGUUGUGCCCUGCCUGGGGACAGUGUUGAUGCCAUGAGUGCCUCUAGGCAGGCCAAGGCUUCCCAGGGCCAGGAGACAAGUUGGAAACUUCUGGUGCCCUUCAUCCACCAAGCUUAAAGGGGGACAGGACAGGAAGUGUGUCCUACCAGACUGCUCUGCUCCUACACCUUCCCAAAUGCUGCUAGCCCCUCCUUGCCAGGAAAAAGUUCUAUCUCCCAGGCUCACUGUGAAUAAAUUCUUCAUUUUGGCACGUUCAUGCA
Molecule: long non-coding RNA, 584 nt
Organism: Vidua macroura (Pin-tailed whydah)
Lineage: Eukaryota; Metazoa; Chordata; Aves; Passeriformes; Viduidae
Exons: 3
Source: RefSeq, a predicted model, not a curated record